RNAcentral lists this unclassified non-coding RNA (213 nucleotides) under Hevea brasiliensis (rubber tree). The record is from RNAcentral. Lineage: Eukaryota; Viridiplantae; Streptophyta; Magnoliopsida; Malpighiales; Euphorbiaceae.
GCAACUGUGGCUGGGGUUUUAUCUGAGCUUGAUGAUGAAAGUAGAAGUAAUGCUUCUGAUGCUCCAUCAUCAGUUACUCAAGAGAGGAUGAUAAUUGUGGGGAAUCAACUCCCUCUUAGAGCUCAUAGGAGACAAGAUGGUGAGGAAGGAUGGAACUUUAGUUGGGAUGAGGAUUCCCUUCUUUUACAGCUCAAAGAUGGUCUUGGAGAAGAU